Long non-coding RNA from Mustela lutreola (European mink), 6200 nucleotides. RefSeq lists it as uncharacterized. The record is from RefSeq and is a predicted model, not a curated record. The transcript has 3 exons. Lineage: Eukaryota; Metazoa; Chordata; Mammalia; Carnivora; Mustelidae.
UGCUCAUUGUCAGACCUUCACUUUUUCAUUCUCAACCCUCGAUCCCUCCUGCUGGAAUUUCAAACCACUUCAUCAUCUUGGAAUUUUUUUUUUCUUUUUUUCCGAGAAUGAGAGCGAGAGAGAGAAUAGCUAGCCACCAACUUCAGCGUAAGAGCCCCUUACAUACUCGAGCGCGGGUAUUAAUCUUUACUUCUCCAGGCUGAAGAAUCCAGGUUCUUUUAAAGAGUGCCCAUCAGUCCCGUUCUGCAGGCUUUUCAUCAUCUUUGUGGCUGUUAAGCCGUCAGCCCCAGCUGCUCACCGUAGACCAGUCUGCAGGCUCCUGGAGACCACCAGAUGCAGGUUUUAACCCAGAGAAGUUCACAGGAGGAGAGGUGCCCAGCUGCCGUGAGUCACCCUCCCCCUCGUCUCCUCCCCAAAGCCAAAGAACGAGCCCCAGCUUGCUGCUCCGGAAAGCUUCUCUCCUUUAAGGACCCCUUUGUUGCCUAUGCUCAUGGCAGCAGGCACACCAGUCCACCAAGGGCCCGUAAAACUCACGCAGGCUUUGUGCGGGUGACCCCACGGGCCUGUGCCUUAGUGAUCCCACCCUUAAGCCCACAAUGAAACUGUUUCUGGGUUCAGCCAGAAACAGACUGGACUCAGUUUGCCUUGUGAUUUGUUUGUUAGCUUUACAAAUGGCUUUUGAGGCCAGACAACCCCUCCUAACGCCUGCCAGCUUGAUGGGUGGAAGUCCAGGGACUUUCAGGAGGUGUUGGGGGGGGGGCUCUUGGGUCUCCAUGGAGAUUUCAAAACAAUCCCCCUUCAGGAAAAAGCUCUUGCUGGCCUGGAAGGGGGAGCCAGCAUUCAGAUGCAGCCAGGAGGUCCUGGUAGGCAAAGGUGUUUGCCUCAUGCCCUUGCCCACAUGGUCCAGAGCCUGGCUCCUUGCGAAGCUCCGAGGUCAGCGCCUGGGCCCCAACGAUGAACCUGCUCCAGCCACCAGCUUUGGAAGGACAGGAGUUGCUGUCUUCAUUGGCUGGGCAGCUGAAGCUCAGAGAAGGGCCCAGACCUAGAGCAGUACAACAGCCAGGGAGUAGGCCUGUCUGGGAAGUUGCAUGUUUUAUGAACCAUAGUGAAUCGGACCAUAUCUUCGAGUAUCUGAUGCCUCUUGUUCCGAUGAAGGCUGGCCGUUCCAGAUGAAACAGCCGGCACGAUUGACACUGACAUGGUAAAAUACCCUAAGGAAACAUAUUUACCAACGAGUCCAUCUUGAUUCCAUAAGUGUAAUUCAGUUACGUAAUUGUGUAGCCCAGUACAGUGUAGUGGCAGUUUAAGCAGGCAUUUGAAUCGCUCUUUAUGCCCUAAUUUUAGAUUCACUUUUGAUAUUUUUGGGGAAUUAUGGAUCAACCCAAAGAUCGAACACAUGAGUAUGCAGCCCCAAAAUCGUAAGAUAAAAAGUACUAUUGAGGUGUGUCAGGCACUUAAUGAAAAUAUUCUAUUGCGGCAUCUGGAUUUUGUAAGGUGUAGGUAUUUGUCAAGUCUUUCAAAGUCAGGAUUCCUUGUUAUACCUAAUUUUGUACCUGUCUCCUUACAAUCUUUUCCUUAAAGAGGGACCCCAAGACUGUAUAUGUUUCAGGCCCCCACAAAGUUUGGAUCCUCCUCGGGUUUCACCCUGUGCCUCAGCAUUCGAGUGUGUUUGCUAUUGUGCCUGGUCUGGUACCCGCUACCCUCCAUGCACAGCUGCACAGCCAGCCAUGCUGGAAGGUGUCUCCUGGCAGAGGGAAGAGAGGGCCCGAAUACAACAGGCGAUGGUUCUAUCCUGUAAUAGAGCUGGGACCUGCAAACCACAAAGGCGACCCGGUGGGGGCAAAUUCAAUCAGCUGGCUCCCACUUGGGGGAUUGAGGCCCAGGAAUGUUUGGCAAAUAGAAAAAGAGGAGGGGGGUGCAAAGACCCAGAGUGGUCUGCAGUUCCGUGUUUGACCACAAGAUGGAGGUAAAAGAGUGGUCCCUAGGCUCAGUUAGAAAACUCAUUAAGAACUAAUCAAGGUGGAGGGGGGUUUUUCAUGUUUCCUGCCCGAGCCUUCUCCCCUUUGCCAAGCCUCAGUGCACUUACUAUUGUUCCAUUCUUUUUUGGUUGAAGUCGUCACAAAUCUGCGUUUUUGUUUGUUAACUCAACUGUAACCCGCAGUUCGUCUUCUAGACAACUUUUCGUGCUCCUUAUGGUUAAGGAUUAUGUUCUUAUUAACUAUUAUUAGAAGAAUUUUCUGACUCAGACGUUUUAGGACUUAAAGCUAUAGUCUUAGCUCAAUAAUUGCCUGAUUAUUUGCCGCUGUGCUUGGAACUUUCAUUACCUGGCUUCUAUUUUGCUCGCAUUGCUCCAUACCCCCCAGUCAGGGCUCUGUGCAGAACGCUAUCUGGAACACCAGGCCGCAUUCCCAUCUGUCUGAGAGAGAUAUGGUUCCAUCUAGUUUUACAGGGACCCUGUGAAGGUUGAAUUAUUCCUACGUUGACUAUAAACAAACUGAGCGCCUUGCCUACAGAAGACAAUGAUAGAGUCGGGCUUCCUGGAUCCAUUCCUCAAUUUUUCACUGGACACCAUCACUGGCUCCCCCAUGGGACCGUGGCCAUCCAGUAGGCCGGCACCAUUGGCUCACAGUGCAUGUGCAGAAAGCAUGGACUGGUCACCAGCGCUGACCACCUUCUAGACUUCUCUUGAGAACGUUGCCUUUGCUGAGGGUCCUUGACUUAGAUGUGUACUUGGCUCAUGGCUGGGGGCUUUUGCUGGAAAAGCAUGCUAAUCAGAGGGCAAAGGUCACAGCCCCGGCACCAGCCCCAGGGUGGGGGGUAAGGUGGGCUAUCCUGAAUGCACAGAUGCAUGAGCUGCCUCUCCGGUGGUGGGAACUACAGUGUUUGUCUUUGAUGAGUCAUAAGCUUGUCUCAUGACUGAGGUUGAAGAUUACAUCUGUAUAAGGGGACAUACCAAAGCUCACUGGCCCACAUUCACAGCAGCUCUUGGCUGACCCCUCAGUAAAUCUCCCUCACUCCUUGACUCCUCCAGCAUUGCGAUAUCCCAUGGGACAACGGGUGCUUUUUUGAAGCAAGGAGAGGAAUCAGAAACACCAUGGCCUGUUUCCCCUGCAAAGCGCCUACUGGGUCCAGCUCCCAUUGAUUUGUUUUUCUGUCGUGUAUGAGCACCCCAUUCUGGACAGCACCUCCGGUUCUCCAGUUAGGCAGAACAGGAGAAGCGGGGCUGGACAGGGAACUAGGGGACCCCGCUUCAGAUGGCAGCUGUGUGGCUGUAGUAUCAGGACUGAAGGACUCCCCCAAACGACGGGAGAGACCUCCGGUCAAGGCCACACCUUUUCCCAGUGUAGCCCACCUCUGCUGACUGACUCACAAGGGGGUAUUAAGUUUCAGCCCUCUUGUCCCAACUCCACGUGGCUCCAAGGGUCAUUCCAUCUUUCACAUUCCCCAUAGAGUCAGUGAAGCCUGCCCGGAAGACAGCAGCUCAACAUGUUCCUCCAUCCACUCUUGCUUUUUCCCUUCUGGUCCUUGAGGGUGGAUCCCAACAGUUCUCCCAGAUAAACCUUCUGCAUGCAAAACUCCCAUCUCAGAAUCUACCCUCUGGGGCACGCAGCCCAAGACAGUGACCUUGGGAAAGAUAAAGACCCCUCUGAACCGUGGUCAAAGCUAGUUCAAUGCCACCCCUCUGGGCUCAUUUUUCACAGCUGACCACUAAAGAUCCCACCAGCUCUUGGCAAAGAAUCCAAACUUGGAGAAGCCCAAGAGUCCAGUCACAGAGGCAGACUGACACACACAGCGCAGGCCAGGACUGAGACUCCAUGUCUCUCAACCCCAAUUCUAAGGGUGCUGUUGUGGUUUGUUUUCAAGCCCAUCCGCAACUUCCUUCUGAGGAAUCAUUUCUCCCACUCAGUCCCUGCAACUCCAGAGACAGGCCUGGGAGGUUGUCCACUCCCGUUGGAGGUUGUCCAGGAUUGCCCUUCAUUCUCUUUCUUCCUACAGCCAGCCCUGUCCAGUGGAAAUCAAUUCAAGCCACAUAGGCCAUCUUAAAUUUUCUAAUAGCCACACUCAAAGAUAAAAAGACCCAGGUGAAAUUGAUUGCAGUAAUGUACCUGACCCCAUAUAUCCAAAGUGCUGUCAGCUCAAUAACCAAUAGGAAAAUCAUUCACGAGGUAUUUGGUUAUUUCAAAUUCUCUUUGUUCACACUCAGUCUGAAUCUGGCGUGUGUUUGGCACAGCACCUCUUGGCUGGGACGCAUCACACCGCAAGCAUUCAGGAGUCACCGUGGUGACCAUAUUGGACAAAGCAGGCAUGAAUUAUAAGGGAGGAGAGUUGCAGAAGGAGGCAUACAAGAACCUGGGACUUCAAAGCCGACCACUUUUGCUUCGAGGGCGGCUGAGUUUGAAGUGUGAACUCAAAGUUUCUUGCUGACCCUCAGCUCUCAUUUCUCCAUUGAUAAGAGAUAAUGCUGUACCUGCCUCAAAACAUGGGUAGGGGACUUUAACAAAAUAGCAUCCCUAAAGCACCUGGCAUGUCCAUAGGUUAUCUGAAACCCAUGGCUUUCUUACUUCCAGCCCCCCAAAUUCUACCAGCAGUUAGCAACAUCAGACAGGACCGAGGUUUGUAAGGUUUGAAUACAAUACUACACACAUCCUUAUUUAGAGCUGCACUUGUGCAUCUUGUGCAAAGUCUUGACCAAUUUUCUAAUCCCAAUCAGGGAAGGAAGCGUUUGGAGAGAGAGAGAGAGAAUGCUACGUGUUCCCUUGGAAUGUAAAACAUUUAAUUAGUUGCCAAGGAUUGAAAAUCUUGAUUCAGAGCCCGAAAUGGCUAAUAAGGUUUUAUUGUUGCUAUUACUUAGAGUUUUUAUAGAACUUUAGGCUUGCAGAAUGCUUUUCAAUCACUUGAGAGAAUCUAAGUUUGUUAACAGCAAGAUGAAAAAAUAGUUCUAUUCAUCAGGAAAGACAACAUACAUAAUAUUUUAAGUAUUUAAGAAUUACGACCCUGCUGUGAGAACAUCUGAAAUUACCUCUACGUGGAUGCAAGAGAUUCUGGUUAUAGGCACAGGACAUUAAUACAGAUACCGAUGUUAUUGCCCUGCUGAGUCGGCAAGGGUGAACUUUUGCAAGUCAGGAAAUACGGAAGUUUCUAAAACAAACAUUAGCUAGCUCUAGUUACACACGUGGAGCUUUUUGCCCACACGUAAUUUCUGAACAUUUUUCUAAAGGAGCUCUUAAGGUUUUAUGGGUGAUCAUAUUAUAAAAUCAUACAUAGUUCUAACACAGCAUAAUUUAUGACUGCUCUGGGUCACUGAAAUCUCCCUGGAUUGUGCUGUUGGGGCUGCUGCAAUUAGAGACCAAUUUGCACCAAUUCCUCUAUAAAUAUUAUCGGUGGGGCAGUGUUGGCUGGAAAAUGGAUUUUUCUUUCCACGUACACCAAAGUCAAAUUCAGGCCGUCUGUUGGAUGUAUCCGUUCGCUUCUGCCACAACAGUGCUGCCUACCAACCAACCCAAAGCUCAGCGGCAUAUAACCAUAAGGGCGGAUGCAUUCAGAUGGUUGGCUAGGAGUCUCCGCUGAUCUCAGCUGGACCCACCGACAGCUGCUUGGUGGCUGAGCAACGCUGGCCUCAGCUCUACUCCACUCCACGUUUUUCAUGGUCCAGCAGGCUAGCCUGGGCGCAUCCACACAAUGAUGGCAGAUGCCCAAGAGAGAGCGAACCCCAAUGAAUGAGCCAUUUCGAACCUGCGACGUGCUUGCUUACAGUCCAUCUGGCUGAGCUCAGAGUCCACGGCUGUGGUAAAUCAACCCACCCGCCAGGGAAAGGCCCUGCAAAGUCACAUGGCCAAGGGCACCGACAAAACGAGAGAUGAGAAUCGUGGCCAUCUGUGUAAGCUACCACAGGUGAGAAUGGAUUAGAAUGGUUUUCUUGAAAAGGAAAGAAAGGGUAAAAACAAUAAACAUCAUUGAUGCUUGCAUCCCUUUUGAUUGCAGAAAAGUACUCUCAGCUGGCCACGCCAAGCUUAUGCCAACUCACUUCCCAAGCCCACCUCUCAGAACAGUUCCUAGGCCAGAAGUCAUGCGAAAUUUUUUUUAAAAGAUUUAUUUAGGGGUGCCUGGGUGGCUCAGUGGGUUAAAGCCUCUGCCUUCAGCUCAGGUCAUGAUCCUGAUCCCUGCAUCGGGCUCGGAGCCUGCUUCCUCCUCUCUCUCUG